GACGAACGCUGGCGGCGUGCCUAACACAUGCAAGUCGAACGAACGGCGAGAAGCUUGCUUCUCAAAGUUAGUGGCGGACGGGUGAGUAACGCGUGAGUAACCUGCCUAUCAGAGGGGGAUAACGUCUGGAAACGGACGCUAAUACCGCAUGAUACCACAGUAUCGCAUGAUACACUGGUCAAAGGAGAAAUCCGCUGAUAGAUGGACUCGCGUCUGAUUAGAUAGUUGGUGAGGUAACGGCUCACCAAGUCGACGAUCAGUAGCCGGACUGAGAGGUUGAACGGCCACAUUGGGACUGAGACACGGCCCAG
This 311-nucleotide ribosomal RNA is filed under the name uncultured bacterium. RNAcentral's name for it is "bacterial SSU rRNA". It matches the Rfam family "Bacterial small subunit ribosomal RNA", at positions 28 to 334 of the family's 1533-position model. The record is from RNAcentral.